Molecule: ribosomal RNA, 256 nt
Filed under: uncultured bacterium
Lineage: Bacteria
Description: partial 16S ribosomal RNA
Rfam family: Bacterial small subunit ribosomal RNA
Source: RNAcentral
CAAUAUAGGUGAUGGCGACCGGCGCACGGGUGAGUAACACGUAUCCAACCUGCCGAUAACUCGGGGAUAGCCUUUCGAAAGAAAGAUUAAUACCCGAUGGUAUAAUAAAACCGCAUGGUUUAAUUAUUAAAGAAUUUCGGUUAUCGAUGGGGAUGCGUUCCAUUAGGCAGUUGGUGAGGUAACGGCUCACCAAACCUUCGAUGGAUAGGGGUUCUGAGAGGAAGGUCCCCCACAUUGGAACUGAGACACGGUCCAA